AUGGAGGCAAAGAAACAUCUCUUUCGCUUUGGGUCUUUCGCGAUAAAGGACGGGUCGGAGAUUCGUUUUUGGGAAGACAUAUGGCUAGGCAAUGCCAGUCUCCGAGAACAAUAUCCAGCCUUAUACAACAUUGCUCGCGAUAAGAAUAAUAUUAUUGCACAGGUGCUCAGUUCAUCCCCGCCAAAUAUUUCAUUCAGGCGGGAUUUGAUUGGCCCCCGACUUGUGGCAUGGCAUAAUCUUUUAUCCAGGUUAGACUCGAUUAACCUGACACAAGGCCGGGAUGUGUUUUGCUGGAACCUUACUACAUCUGGUUCUUUCACUGUAGACUCUAUGUACCUUGCGUUCACAUAUUCUGAGGUACUAGUGAGUAAUAACAAGAAAAUUUGGAAGUCCAAGAUUCCACUAAAAGUGAAAAUUUUCAUGUGGUAUCUUCGUAGGGGAGUUGUGUUAACCAAAGACAACUUCGCACGACGCAACUAG
RNAcentral lists this ribosomal RNA (480 nucleotides) under Triticum aestivum (bread wheat). RNAcentral's name for it is "partial small subunit ribosomal RNA". The record is from RNAcentral. Lineage: Eukaryota; Viridiplantae; Streptophyta; Magnoliopsida; Poales; Poaceae.